RNAcentral lists this ribosomal RNA (374 nucleotides) under uncultured organism. RNAcentral's name for it is "partial 16S ribosomal RNA". It matches the Rfam family "Bacterial small subunit ribosomal RNA", at positions 527 to 896 of the family's 1533-position model. The record is from RNAcentral.
GGAGGGUGCGAGCGUUGUUCGGAAUCAUUGGGCGUAAAGCGCGUGUAGGCGGGCAGGUCAGUCAGGUGUGAAAGCCCGGGGCUCAACCUCGGAACUGCGCUUGAUACUACCUGUCUUGAGUACGGGAGGGGGAAGCGGAAUUCUUGGUGUAGGGGUGAAAUCCGUAGAUAUCAGGAGGAACACCGAUAGCGAAGGCAGCUUCCUGGACCGAUACUGACGCUGAGACGCGAAAGCGUGGGGAGCAAACAGGGAUUAGAUACCCUGGUAGUCCACGCCGUAAACGAUGUUCACUAGGUGCUGCGGGUAUUGACCCCCCCUGCGGUGCCGCAGCUAACGCAUUAAGUGAACCGCCUGGGGAUACGGCCGCAAGGUUA